RNAcentral lists this transfer RNA (85 nucleotides) under Felis catus (domestic cat). It matches the Rfam family "tRNA". Rfam says of the family: Transfer RNA (tRNA) molecules are approximately 80 nucleotides in length. Their secondary structure includes four short double-helical elements and three loops (D, anti-codon, and T loops). Lineage: Eukaryota; Metazoa; Chordata; Mammalia; Carnivora; Felidae. The record is from Rfam by way of RNAcentral.
GCCUGGGUGGCUUGGUUGGUUAAGCGUCCGACUUCAGAUCAGGUCAUGAUCUCCCAGUUUGUGGGUUCGAGCCCCACAUCGGGCU